RNAcentral lists this ribosomal RNA (510 nucleotides) under uncultured bacterium. RNAcentral describes it as "partial 16S ribosomal RNA". It matches the Rfam family "Bacterial small subunit ribosomal RNA", at positions 28 to 507 of the family's 1533-position model. The record is from RNAcentral.
GACGAACGCUGGCGGCGUGCUUAACACAUGCCAGUCGAACGAAGAGCGACGGAAGCUUGCUUCUAUCAAUCUUAGUGGCGCACGGGUGAGUAACGCGUAAUCAACCUGCCCUUCAGAGGGGGACAACAGUUGGAAACGACUGCUAAUACCGCAUACGAUCUAACCUCGGCAUCGAGGAUAGAUGAAAGGUGGCCUCUACAUGUAAGCUAUCACUGAAGGAGGGGAUUGCGUCUGAUUAGCUAGUUGGAGGGGUAACGGCCCACCAAGGCGAUGAUCAGUAGCCGGUCUGAGAGGAUGAACGGCCACAUUGGGACUGAGACACGGCCCAGACUCCUACGGGAGGCAGCAGUGGGGAAUCUUCCGCAAUGGACGAAAGUCUGACGGAGCAACGCCGCGUGAGUGAUGACGGCCUUCGGGUUGUAAAGCUCUGUUAAUCGGGACGAAAGGCCUUCUUGCGAAUAGUGAGAAGGAUUGACGGUACCGGAAUAGAAAGCCACGGCUAACUACGUG